AGAUUGCAGUAUCCGUGUUUUGUCGACGCCAUUUGAUGUCCACCUAAUUGUCGUCUACUUCUGGCGUCGACAAUUCAGCCAAAUACCACCUGCUCUGCACAUGGCCAAGGAAAAGAAACCCGCCCCACUCCUCUUUCUCUUUCUUAAUCAUCUUCUACUUUUCUCUCAACCCUAACCCCCAACAACUCUCUCCCUUCUCAGCCUCAAAAGUUCUCGAUCUACUCCGCGCUUGAAGAAUUUGCCGCAAUUAUAAGAAUUACAACAAGCUGUAAACAAAAUUCAAACAUUUUGAGAUCGAUCUAACAAAACAAAAUUCUUUGCCGAAAAUUCCAUCUCGAUUUUAAGGUAUUAUCUUAUAUAUAAUGGUAGAAGUAUCAUAAGCCUAAUAUCCGGAAAUACAUAAUAAUAUGAAGUAUCCUUGUCAUCAACUAUCGCUAAUACUUCAGCCUCACUCUGUUGCAAGUUCUGGUCUGUGCUUCUCUAUUGUUGUUGCUGUCCUGUUUGCUGAAGCGUGGUUCUGGUGCUUUGCUUCUUUUCUGGUUGCACUGCUGCUUUCUUUGCUAGGUUCUGCUGCUACUCUUUGCUGCUGCUGCUGCUGCGUCUUUGUUGUAGCUGCGGAUGGCUUGUUUGUAGUUUUGACUGUUGUUUUUUGCUUUGCGUUUUAGCUUGGGUUGCGGGUUUGUGCGCCCUUUGCUUCUUGUUUCGUUGGUUGAAUAUUGUGUGGUUUCUACCUUUUGGUAAUAAAUAUAUCUUAUUUACCAAAAAAAAAACUAUCGCUAAUACUUCAUUGGUUAUAAAACAUAUUACUACUAAGCAACUUUGCCCUCUUCUAGUUUGAUCCGAUAACCAUGUUUCCCUUAAAGGCUAAUAAUGUUGCAAUCCAUGUCCAUAUUUUUUUAGAAGAUGAUCAAAAUACUGGUUUCUAUGAGGUUGGAUCUCCUCAUAAAGGAUAUUAGGUAUUUGUCUCUGUGUGUCUGGUGCUGCCGGAAAGGUGAUUUUCUUACUACUUUGUGUUAGCCUGUUACUAGUCCAUAUUUCUGUCAAACUUCUUAAAUCAUUAGACCAUCAGUAAACAAACAUUACCGACCAUAAGAGUUGUUUGCAGUCUGUUUGAACUACUCAACCAUUUUAUGAAACAAUGUCUGGGAAGAGAUAGUCUAUUCCAUAUAAUAAAACACCAUUCCUGAGUUAUAUAAAUCUCACAAAGUUGCACUCUUUUUGUAAAUUUUGAGUAUCUAAUUUAUGUAGGACUUAUUAUCAUUAACUAUCUAGAUUGGUAUUGGUAAUUUAUCUAGGCCUUCAUAUUUAUAUUUGGCCUUUUAUCAUUAACUAUCUAAUUGAAUGUUAUAAUGGAAUCAAAAGGGGUUAAAGAAGAUUCCAGUAGUAGUAAUAGUAAAUUAUUGGGGGUGCCGUUUCAUAAGUGUGUGUGUGUUAUCUUAAUAUCAUUACUUCACCCCUCUGGUCAAGCAUUUGAUAUUUCUAUAUAAAACUUGAAUCUUUUGAAUUCCUAGAAAGAAUGACUGAUUUGCUAAAAAGUGCUUGUAUUAGGUGUUUACAAGAGCAUAUUCAAUUAGGUGAUUAAAGAGGGCGGGUAUGCCAAACUACAAAUUAUAAGUUCACUUUUCAACCUUUUCGAAUUGCUUUCUGUCAAGAACUUAGUUAGGUGUUAUUGUACCUUUAUGUUUCUCGAAUGAAGGUGCCUCUACCCCAAGGGGACUUCAAACUAUUGGCCUUAAUUGCUUGUCUAGGGCCUGGUACCGUCUUUGAGCAGUCGCGUUGCUUGUAAGAGGUAGUCAAUAGCUUGGUUUACUUAAUUUGGGAUGAAAUUAUAGCCUGUAAAUUUUUAGUCUUUCUAAUUUCCCGUUUUCUAUAUCUUUUCCCUUCUUUACCUCUGUUCUUCGCAGACUUGAGAGAGCCUCGCAUCCUGUUAUGACUCAAGCUGCACAAAAGCAACUCAUUUGUUAUUUUAGAUGCUAUUAGUAUAAGCUUUAGUGAUUUAUCACCUACAAAUUACUUUUAUUUAGGUUUGUUGCACCUUCUUCAGUCUUGGUUGAGUAUUAGCAACUUCAGUCCUGUUGAGUUUUACAUGUUUUCUUUCAUUUUUCUCUUCUUUGAGUACCAUGUGUUGUUUGACCUCUUUGAGAAUUCUCAUGCCAUUCAAUCAUGUGUGAUUUAGGUUCUAAAAUUUACAUACUUAUUACAGAAUUUGAGUUGAUAUUGUAUUUCAUUUUGCAAUUUUCAGGUGUUCUCUUAAGCCCAAUUAAAUCUGACAAAAAGUUAGUUUUCCGGAGUUUCUAAUUCACAAAAAGUGCAGCAUGAGGUUUAUUAUUCCUUCAAGAAAUUUGCCGAAGAAGUUGUUAACAUGACUUCUUUUAGAAGAAGGAAAAGUUUGAAUUUCUCAUUUCCUAUGCCAAAUAAGUUUUCAUACUGGUGUUAUGAUUCUAACUUUUAUUUAACAAAGUAACUGGUUUUUAUCUGUUAUUGGAUGCUGGAGUUUUUGAUGCAUCUUAGUUGCAUGUUGUACAAUAUAUGAAAAUAGUCUAACUUUCAACCAGCAGUAGACAAUAGCUGUUAGGUUUCAGGUUGUGGUAAAUUUUACCUCAAGUAGUUUAUACCUAAAGAAUUCAAUAGAUUUUGGUUGGGCCACAUCCAUGCUCCUUUAUUAGUUCUAAAGACAAACUUUGGUGGGGACCUGGUGCAGAUAUUAACAUGGAUUAUGUUUUAGCAAGAUAUAGUUUAAUUUGAUUAAAAUUAUAUUCUAUUAUACUUGCACAGAUUUCUCUCCCCCAUUUCCCUCUUAAAAUGAUGCUUGAUAUGGAUUCUUUGCUUUUGAAUUAAAUUCCGUUGGCUGCAGAUUUGAUUUUCGGGGUUUGGUGUACUGAUUUUGUGGUUUUGACUGAAUAAAUUGAGGGUUUAUCCAUUUCCAGCAUGUUCUUGGCUGAAUAAGUUGUUUCUAUAAGCAGUGUUGGGAAUGGAAUUAUGUUAUUUUGAUAUAACAUUUUACUUUGCAGGUUUCCUGGCUUCAAAUUAUUCAUGUACUUCCGCUCUUGUGUGAACUUUUGGAUGAGUAUGGAAGGAAACCGCUUCUCUGUUUGACCAUGUCUACUUCCAUUUUCCUAUUGAUCGUCCAACGUGAUAAGGAGCAAGAUGAGAAUGAAGGAAAAGACCCACUUGAGUUUCAUAUAAGCUACUACUACCACUAUUAUAGAUCCUAGUUUUUCUAGGUUUUAGUUAUUCUGUUUAGUAGAUACAAUUUGUAUUUUUGAUGAUCUUUUGGAAUAUUUAGUUAGUAACAUUUAUAUACGAUGGAAUUUGGUUAGUAACAUUAUCAUGUACUAUGGAUUUUGGUUAAUUAGUAACAUUAUCGUGUACGAUGGAUUUUAAUUAUGUACUUCUACAUUUGUAUAAGGCAA
Molecule: long non-coding RNA, 3413 nt
Organism: Spinacia oleracea (spinach)
Lineage: Eukaryota; Viridiplantae; Streptophyta; Magnoliopsida; Caryophyllales; Amaranthaceae
Exons: 4
Source: RefSeq, a predicted model, not a curated record